This is a non-coding RNA of Saimiri boliviensis boliviensis (Bolivian squirrel monkey), 1084 nucleotides long. Lineage: Eukaryota; Metazoa; Chordata; Mammalia; Primates; Cebidae. The record is from RefSeq and is a predicted model, not a curated record.
CAGGGGGGGCUGGCAGAGAGAGGUGCAUGGAAAACUUUUUUGUUUAGGUUACUUCCUCCUGGAGAAUUGUCCCUCCGUUGCCUGCUUACCGAGUCAGGUGCCUGGCCUGCGUGGAUGGCUUGUUGGCAUUUCCCGGACCCUCUUGUCAUAAGGCUGAGACCUGAGAAGCCAAUUCUGUCCCGGAGGUGAGAUCUGCCCGGAUAAUCGUAGGCUGACGGGCUCCCAGCUCUGGCGCGAUGGUUGACGUGUACCUCCCCUUUCACACUGUGUUCGUCUGGGUGAUAAAGUGUGUGGGGCGCCUCUCUGCCAGCUCCCUGUCCUCUUGGGAAAUGUCUGCGCUUUGUGAGUUUGGGAAUCGGCUGGGGACCCAGGGAGGUGGGUACGGGCGGAGGAGCUGCCUUCCUCGGGGAGGCGGCGCAGCGCGGGGUUACUUAGGGGACCAGGCCAGCGACCAGAACCGGCCCCCCACCCCUGGGAGGCCUGGGCUUGCCCUUCCCGGCGUGUCCGUGGCUGCGCCGCACGCGGCUCUGGGUGCGCUCCCGCUCCACCGCCGCUGCCGCCCACGCCCUACGUCCCCGCCUGGCAGCCUGGAGCCGGACCCCGCCUCCCUCGCCCCGAGAUGCCCGGGGCCUGCCGGGCGCCUGCAGCUAAGCGCGGAUCUCCACUGCAAGCCCUCGGUCCCCGCCUUGCCGGGCCUACUGGCGCCCCCCGGCGCGGUGCGUGUGAACUGUGGGCGAUAGUCUCGCCCGAGGCGGGCGGCGAGCGCUGCUUCCAGAUGCAGCCACCGCGACAGCACCCGGCGCGCCGGGACAGCGGUCGCCCCUCCGGAUACUCGACCUUCGGGACGGCGCGGACCCCAGGCAGCCCGCCCGGUCUCCUGGGAACAGCCCAGGCGCGCGUGCCGACUUUAACGCCGGUUCCUCUGAGUUUCUUUAGCAGUUUACCACGUAUAACUAAGCCUGUCUUUCUCAGAAGGAACCUUCCGGGCUGUGCUGUUGUUUAUUCGGCCAAUCUCUGUUAAUGGUUAUUAAAGGUGUCUUCACAUGGAAUCAAUCUAGGUUCCUGUCAGUGGUGGACUGGAUGA